This 414-nucleotide ribosomal RNA is filed under the name uncultured microorganism. Its description in RNAcentral is "bacterial SSU rRNA". It matches the Rfam family "Archaeal small subunit ribosomal RNA", at positions 459 to 872 of the family's 1478-position model. The record is from RNAcentral.
CAGCCGCCGCGGUAAUACCGGCGGCCCGAGUGGCGGUCACUAUUAUUGGGCUUAAAGCGUCCGUAGCCGGGUUGGGAAGUCCUCCGGGAAAUCUGGCCGCUUAACGGUCAGAAUGCCGGAGGAUACUCCCAGCCUAGGGAGCGGGAGAGGCCGAGGGUAUUCCCGGGGUAGGGGUGAAAUCCUAUAAUCCCGGGAGGACCACCUGUGGCGAAGGCGCUCGGCUGGAACGCGUCCGACGGUGAGGGACGAAGGCCAGGGGAGCAAACCGGAUUAGAUACCCGGGUAGUCCUGGCUGUAAACGAUGCGGACUUUGUGUCGGACAAGCUAUGAGCUUGUCCGGUGCCGUAGGGAAGCCGUUAAGCCCGCCGCCUGGGGAGUACGGCCGCAAGGCUGAAACUUAAAGGAAUUGGCGGG